CAGGAAAAACAAACAACAGCUCAGACCUGAAGCAGGACAAGCCCCCAGAGAACAGGUGAAAGAAGAAGAAGAUGUUCUCUAUGUUUCUGUCCACUUUGUAAAGAAACAGGAAGAGCCACUUUACUCCAACGUCACAUCAGCUCAGUCCAGGAGCUACAUGAUGGAAAACAGGCAGUUAAAACAGAUGGAGUAUACCACUGUUAACUGUUUAACAACCCCAGCUGUUACAAGAACUGAGCCGAACAAGCAAGACGUUGAAGAGGAUCCAGAUGCUUUGUACAGCAGAGUCAACAAAGCAAGAAAGAAAGAUGACUCAAAAGACCAACAACUGCUUCAUCACUGAUGGGAUCCACACUUACAAGCAGA
Molecule: long non-coding RNA, 366 nt
Organism: Cyprinodon tularosa
Lineage: Eukaryota; Metazoa; Chordata; Actinopteri; Cyprinodontiformes; Cyprinodontidae
Exons: 4
Source: RefSeq, a predicted model, not a curated record